GACGAACGCUGGCGGCGUGCUUAACACAUGCAAGUCGAACGGAAAGGCCCUGCUUUUGUGGGGUGCUCGAGUGGCGAACGGGUGUGUAACACGUGAGUAACCUGCCCUUGUCUUUGGGAUAACUUCAGGAAACUGGGGCUAAUACCGGAUAUGAUCUCCUGCUGCAUGUUGGGGGUUGGAAAGUUUCGGCGGUUGGGGAUGGACUCGCGGCUUAUCCGCUUGUUGGUGUGGUAGUGGCUUACCAAGGCUUUGACGGGUAGCCGGCCUGAGAGGGUGACCGGCCACAUUGGGACUGAGAUACGGCCCUGACUCGUACGGGAGGCAGCAGUGGGGAAUAUUGCACAAUGGGCGGAAGCCUGAUGCAGCAACGCCGCGUGCGGGAUGACGGCCUUCGGGUUGUAAACCGCUUUCGACUGUGACGAAGCGUGAGUGACGGUAAUGGGUAAAGAAGCACCGGCUAACUACGUG
RNAcentral lists this ribosomal RNA (468 nucleotides) under uncultured bacterium. Its description in RNAcentral is "partial 16S ribosomal RNA". It matches the Rfam family "Bacterial small subunit ribosomal RNA", at positions 28 to 507 of the family's 1533-position model. The record is from RNAcentral.